RNAcentral lists this ribosomal RNA (253 nucleotides) under uncultured bacterium. RNAcentral's name for it is "partial 16S ribosomal RNA". It matches the Rfam family "Bacterial small subunit ribosomal RNA", at positions 524 to 776 of the family's 1533-position model. The record is from RNAcentral.
UACGUAGGGUGCAAGCGUUAAUCGGAAUUACUGGGCGUAAAGCGUGCGCAGGUGGUUUUGCAAGACCGACGUGAAAGCCCCGGGCUCAACCUGGGAACUGCGUUGGUGACUGCAAGACUAGAGUGUGGCAGAGGGGGGUGGAAUUCCACGUGUAGCAGUGAAAUGCGUAGAUAUGUGGAGGAACACCGAUGGCGAAGGCAGCCCCCUGGGUUAACACUGACACUCAUGCACGAAAGCGUGGGGAGCAAACAGG